UUCAGGGGUGUGAAAACAAGUUGCAGUUGUCUGGUGCCAGCAUAAACACUGAACCUACUCAAGCCAGUUCCCCCCGACCACUGAAGUCCACACGGAAUAGUGCCAUAAUGGAAUCAAUUACCUGCAAAGAAAUAGUAAAGAGGGAGAGGAUGUGAAAGGAUAAGAAUUUACUUGGAAAAUAUUCAAGAUAUAUAAAUGAACAGCACAAUCUUAUACAUGUCUACUCA
This is a long non-coding RNA of Lacerta agilis (Sand lizard), 227 nucleotides long. RefSeq lists it as uncharacterized. NCBI's taxonomy places the organism in Eukaryota, Metazoa, Chordata, Lepidosauria, Squamata, Lacertidae. The record is from RefSeq and is a predicted model, not a curated record. The transcript is spliced from 2 exons.